Molecule: ribosomal RNA, 750 nt
Filed under: uncultured Rhizobium sp.
Lineage: Bacteria; Pseudomonadati; Pseudomonadota; Alphaproteobacteria; Hyphomicrobiales; Rhizobiaceae
Description: bacterial SSU rRNA
Rfam family: Bacterial small subunit ribosomal RNA
Source: RNAcentral
AGAGUUUGAUCCUGGCUCAGGAUGAACGCUAGCGGCAGGCCUAAUACAUGCAAGUCGAGGGGUAACGCGGUAGCAAUACUGGCAACGACCGGCGCACGGGUGCGUAACGCGUAUGCAAUUUGCCCAUAACAAGGGGAUAGCCCGGAGAAAUCCGGAUUAAUACCCUAUAAUAUAGUGGAUAGGCAUCUAUUUACUAUUAAAGAUUUAUCGGUUAUGGAUGAGCAUGCGUCUGAUUAGCUAGUUGGUGAGGUAAUGGCUCACCAAGGCGACGAUCAGUAGGGGGUCUGAGAGGAUGAUCCCCCACACUGGUACUGAGAUACGGACCAGACUCCUACGGGAGGCAGCAGUAGGGAAUAUUGGGCAAUGGACGAGAGUCUGACCCAGCCAUGCCGCGUGUAGGAAGAAGGCUUUCUGAGUUGUAAACUACUUUUGAUUGGGAACAAAAGAUCCUUGCGAGGAGCAUUGAGUGUACCAAUAGAAUAAGCACCGGCUAACUCCGUGCCAGCAGCCGCGGUAAUACGGAGGGUGCAAGCGUUGUCCGGAUUUAUUGGGUUUAAAGGGUGCGUAGGCGGCUAAUUAAGUCAGCGGUGAAAUUCCACAGCUCAACUGUGUGAACUGCCAUUGAUACUGGUUGGCUUGAGUACAGAUGAGGUAGGCGGAAUUGACAGUGUAGCGGUGAAAUGCUUAGAUAUUGUCAAGAACACCUAUUGCGAAGGCAGCUUACUAAACUGUAACUGACGCUGAGGCACG